Lynx canadensis (Canada lynx) is the source of this 3927-nucleotide long non-coding RNA. RefSeq lists it as uncharacterized. NCBI's taxonomy places the organism in Eukaryota, Metazoa, Chordata, Mammalia, Carnivora, Felidae. The record is from RefSeq and is a predicted model, not a curated record. The transcript is spliced from 2 exons.
CUGCACAGGCAACUCAUUUUUCUCUCGAACAUUAUUAUUAUACAUGACUACUUAUUAGAGCUGUGGCAGAUACCGCCAACGCCCAUGUUCUUCGCCUGGGGCCUGCCCGUUUGUUGACUGGAUUCCAACACGUAACUCCAUCUCUUCUGCCAGUUGCGGAAACUUAAUCUGGAGACAGGAGCUUUGCCGUGCUGUGCCUCACUCUUCCUAAAUAGAAUUUCCCUGUCGCGCCAAAAUGUUCCGUGAGGCUCUGAGAAAAGGAAAACCGAAAAAGCAUCCGCGGGAAGAAGCCCUCGGUUCACAACAGCCAGAGCCUCACCGUGGCUUUGACAAAGCUCCUGAAACAACGAUUGUCCUUGAGUUCAUUUCCCUGUAAUGUUGUUUACGGCCUCUCCGGAGAAUUGCCACCGGUGACCCCAGCCCCAAGGUCAGCCCGCGUCUGCCGCCUAGCAGGACUCUAACCUUGCCAACCUUUAUGGCACAGAGACUGGCUGCUUCAGCUUUCUGGGAAGGAUUCUGGAGUGCUUACCCAGACUAGAUCGGGGAGGGGGGGGGGGACCGUGUUGGUAUCAUUUUCCCAAACCGGGCCCGGGCCUCUUCACGUUCUCCUUGGCUCCUAAGGGCCGGAUAGUUUAUGUCCCGCUCCCUCCUCUGGGUGUUGGCCAGAAACGUGAUCACCGUGAGGAGAAACCGCCUUCUUUGCUCCUUAAGCAAAUCAUCCUUGUGGUCUUGAUAAGUAAACAACAAAUAAGCUGCCGGAGGAACUCCUCUGACUUUCAGGAAAGUAUUCUACAAAUUGGGCCUAUCCAAAGUGACAGGAGGAAGAACAUUAAGCAUCUGACAAGAUGAUAUCUAAGUUCAAUUUCCUACUCUUUACCUGAUUUAUACCUGCAGAAGAUAAUUUUCCUUUCUGUCAUAAACAGCCCUAUAAAUCAGCAGUGCUUAUGGAGCAGCCACACCGAGAGCCCCCAGCUUUGCAGCCUCUGUGUUUCCUAUUAGGAAGCCAUUACUGCAGAAUUUUCCUCCUUCAAACAAAAAUGAUGAAAUUUAAUACCACUGAGAUUACAAAGAUUAAGAGCUGAAAUACUGCGGGGGCUUUUCAAUUGAAGCAGCUAUCUGAGCAAUCUUUGCAAAACUCAAUAAAACCAGGGUUUCUGCCUUUGACAUCAUUAUCCAUCUGUUUGGAUGAAAUUGCUGUAUCAUGGUAUAAAUCUGUGAUACAAGUGACAUAACCUCUGAAAUAAAAGGGAACAUUAACUGCUCUAUCUUCUGGAGGCCCUGGGACCGGCUGGCUAUAAGCUCACUCAAGUGUGAUGGCAGUUAUUCUGUGUUUUACUAGACUGGAGACAAUUAUCCUUUGCUCUCCUCCCCUCUUAUGACAAACUGCCAGAGCUUCUGCUGAAAUGAUCUCAAAUAGAUUUUCUAAAAUGCUUAGUACUAGAUUGCCUCCAUACAUUAUUUCUUUUCAAUGGGCUGAAAAUAAAAACCUAAUCCACAAAUCAAUUGCUACAUCUAUCAGAUGCACGUUGGUGCACAUUUUAUUUUGUUCUAUCAAGAUUUUAUACUGCUUAGACCCUCUUUGCAGCGUUUUACAUAGAUGGGUGUGCUGCAGGAAGGCGGCUUGCCCAGGGUUCAAUAGGAGUCAAGAGACAUUUAGCCUUAUGAGAGGGGAAUCUUGUGAGUGGAGCGCUGAUGAUAAUGGGAAGUGUGAAGAGGGCUCUUUCAGCUCCUGCUCCUCUGGCUGUGGCAUCACUCCAAGCCCCCUGAAGUGCCAGCCAAACUGAAGGGGGAGCGGCGUAAGGGAAGAAGAGGAGGCAAGUGUCCACGAGGACGCCGUCCCGGAUGAACUCCCUUCCCGCCUUCUUCUUCCUCCUCCAGAGCUGGUCGGCACAGUUGAGGCCUCCUCCACCCAAGGAAGGUGGCGCCCAUCUUGUCUGCCACACUCGAUCCCUCGAGGGAAGACUGGAACGUGCUUUAAAGAUCCUGAUCCGUAGCCAACACGUCAGCUCAUCUUGUGAUAGGUGGUUGUGGCACCCCGGUGGGUACAAGACUCGUAUGGACUUAGAUUCGGUCUUUUGUGCAAUUACGCUUCACGGGUCUACGCGUGGGGCAGAAGCCUCUGAGGGGCUGGUUACUUGUUUACUGAGCUCAGCAGACGAAUCAGCAAUAGCAACGCGUUCCUAAAUCUGCAGUACAAGUUACAGACUCUCAGUGUGCUCUCAUUGGCUCGACAAAAUAUUCAGUCCCCGGUAGACAUUGACUCUUCUAGUAUUUACAGGUGCAAUCGGAAGCAUUCAUGGUAAAAUUCCAUUUUCCCAACACGAUAGCUGGUACCAGGUCGGGACUGCUGGCCGCCUUUCCGGAGGGAGACCUACCCCCCUCUGCCCCUAUCCCCACUCUCUUCUUACACUGGCACGCAUAUGUGUGUUCUCCUGGGACUUCAUUUUGUUGUUUGCAAAGGAGGGAAAGACAUGGAAAGAAUGAAAAAUGUCUUUAUAGACCGUUCUGUUUUGGUCAGACAGCCAGAAAAACAAGUCAAUUAAUAAGCAAUCAAGUUUCCUCAAUAUUAUAAAUUGCUCAGGGAAUCCUUGUAAUCACUGAUAUUAGUUGCUUAAAAGGUUGAACCAGAAGAGGGUGAAACAGCAGUGUUUUCCUGGGACUGUACUGACACGGGAUCUACGAUACCAAACCUCGUCAAAAUCCACAGUUCUUAGAAAAAUUUGAAUCCGUUUAAACAUACCUAUAUGAGUUUUAUGAAAUGUCGGAGACUACAUGUCUCGUACGUUUUCUUAUUCAUUGAAGGCACCAUGAGCUGGAAAAUCAUAAUUUGGAGAAAACCAAUCUGUAUGAAAUUAAACAAAAAAAAGGAGUAGAGUACGCACAGGCUAGUUGAUGAUCGCUUCAACACAUGCACGGCCUCAGAGUUUCAAGGCAGGGGGAUGUGGAGCUAGAGAAUCUGUAGUUUUAGAAGUUCCCCUAGGUGAUUCUGAUGAGCGGCCGUGGCUAGCUGGGCACCACGGAUACACAGCCUACCAGCUGCUCUCCAUCUCCAUGGCAACAGAGGCAGAAGAGGCAAGCAUUAACUGUAGCAUAAAGUAUUUAAGCUAAUGCAAGUUUGCUUUUAAUUACUAGAUUUGCAUUUGUCAUUAUGACCCUUUAGUGGAUAUCUUCUCCUUGGCCCCAUGCCUAAGAUUUGGGUCGCUCCCACCAGGUGAACAGUCAUGCUUUUGGUUAUAGAUUUUUACCAAGGCUCUUUACCAAUUAUGUAUAAAGGAAAAACUUAUUAGAACCCAAGUCAGUCACACUUCCUCUCUUCUUCUCAACUUCUUCUCUGGAGACUCACGCUGUUAAAAAUUAUGGUAUACAGAACGAAUGCAUCUAAUUUUAAGUAUAAACAAUGGAAUAAAGUAGAGGACAAGAGAGAAAGAAAGAUAAAUGCCCGGGUAUAUAUUUAAAGAACAUUGCUUCCUAAGUCUCAACUGUUGCAAACUGUUUUUAAUUUAAUUCUGGUUUUCCUGACUGAGACUAACUAGGACAACUAGCAUAUCUGAUUUCAUUUAAAAGGCCAGAAUUCUUUACAGCUAUACUUGUUCCCAAAUUUCUUCUUUCUUUAAAGCUUUAGAAGAAGUCUAUUUUUCCUGCAACUUAAGGCAUCAAAAGCUGUUUUGCAAUAUUGUAGCUUUUCAUGGAGAAAUAUUAUUAAUAAUAAUAAUGUAUGCAGUUUCCUCUACCUAUUUCCUGUUCUAAUUGCCUUUUCCCCUGCUCUCUUUUUAAUAGAAAAUCUAUUUCUUCACCGAAUUUUCUUAGUGUCUUCUAGUUUUUUUUUUCCUGCCAAAAAAAAGCUUCUUGCCUAAGUUGACCUUUGUUUCUAAACUUUAUUAUCACUAAUGAUGAUGAUAAAUAAUAAAUACCUUAAUAUGUUCUUCA